This 842-nucleotide ribosomal RNA is filed under the name Microsporum canis. RNAcentral describes it as "eukaryotic LSU rRNA". The stretch from base 297 to 450 matches the Rfam family "5.8S ribosomal RNA". The record is from RNAcentral. Lineage: Eukaryota; Fungi; Ascomycota; Eurotiomycetes; Onygenales; Arthrodermataceae.
ACCCUCCCGAUAGGGCCGCGCCCACGGCAACUGGAAGCUUCCCGUCUCCCCCCCGGGCCUCCCGGGGAGGUUGCGGGCGGCGAGGGGUGCCUCCGGCCGCACGCCCAUUCUUGUCUACUGACCCGGUUGCCUCGGCGGGCCGCGCCUGCUGUGCUACAGCGGCCGUUCGGGGGGGACGCCUGAGGGGGACUCUUGUUUCCUAGGCCACGCCCCGGGCAGCGCUCGCCGGAGGAUUACUCUGGAAAACACACUCUUGAAAGAACAUACCGUCUGAGCGAGCAACGCAAAUCAGUUAAAACUUUCAACAACGGAUCUCUUGGUUCCGGCAUCGAUGAAGAACGCAGCGAAAUGCGAUAAGUAAUGUGAAUUGCAGAAUUCCGUGAAUCAUCGAAUCUUUGAACGCACAUUGCGCCCCCUGGCAUUCCGGGGGGCAUGCCUGUUCGAGCGUCAUUUCAACCCCUCAAGCCCGGCUUGUGUGAUGGACGACCGUCCCCCCUCCCCAGUAACCACCCACCGCUUAGGGGGUGGGGGAGGGAAGGGGGGACCGCGCCCGAAAAGCAGUGGUCAGGCCGCGAUUCCGGCUCCUGGGCGAAUGGGACAUACCACCGCCUCCAGGACCGGCCGGCAGGCUGGGGCUUACGGCAGCGUGGUAUUAUUCAGGUUGACCGUCGGAUCAGGUAGGGAUACCCGCUGACUUAGCUAUCAGUUGGCCCCCACAGCUACGAAUGUCUAUGGGACUUCCCCAAGGGGCCACACGAGGCUCGCGAGUAUGGAGGGGGCGCAGUACAGAAGCGACGAUCGAUGAUGUUAGGCGACGGUUGACUCGAUAGGAGUCAGCGGUA